UUCGAGUGAGGGAUAGUAGCGGCAUCGUUUUGCGGGCCCAUCAGGGAAUAAAGCGCGCAGGCCAGGCCCGCAAAAGAUACAGCGGAUAGCCCGGCCCCGG
Molecule: small RNA, 100 nt
Filed under: Taibaiella chishuiensis
Lineage: Bacteria; Pseudomonadati; Bacteroidota; Chitinophagia; Chitinophagales; Chitinophagaceae
Description: Flavo-1 RNA
Rfam family: Flavo-1 RNA
Source: RNAcentral